This 630-nucleotide transfer RNA is filed under the name uncultured Prochlorococcus sp. RNAcentral describes it as "partial 16S-23S ribosomal RNA intergenic spacer". The stretch from base 251 to 323 matches the Rfam family "tRNA". The record is from RNAcentral. Lineage: Bacteria; Bacillati; Cyanobacteriota; Cyanophyceae; Synechococcales; Prochlorococcaceae.
CAGGGAGACAAUAAAUUGAUUGUGAUGUCUAAGUUAUUUAUUCUUAGGCCGCAAUCCUGUCACCUUAAGGUCGAUCGGUACCUCAGAUUUUUGAAUUAGUUUUAUAAUUGAUUCUUUGAUUUCAGUUCCUAAACUUGUCUAGGUCACACCCAACAAAGGUUUCUCCUGGGCCAUUAGCUCAGGUGGUUAGAGCGCACCCCUGAUAAGGGUGAGGUCCCUGGUUCAAGUCCAGGAUGGCCCAUUCGUUGUUGGGGGUAUAGCUCAGUUGGUAGAGCGCCUGCUUUGCAAGCAGGAUGUCAGCGGUUCGAGUCCGCUUACCUCCACUGAAAACUAUCCUGAUAACUAAAUUCUGGAGAAAAAUUGUAGAUGUGGCUUAGAAUUGUCUAUUUGAAGAGAACCUAGCUUCUUGUCAUCUUUUUAUAGUUGAUAAAAUGCUGGGCUCGCAUGGAUUAUUUCCAUGAGAAUUCAGUAGAACCUUGAAAACUGCAUAGAUUAGAAAGAAUAAAGCAUCUCAUGGAUGCAUAAUUCUGUUUUUUUAAUUUAGCCUUAAAACUAAAUUAUUUAAUUCUAGAAUUCAUGUUUAAUUCUUGAGUAAAAGCCGAGCACAAUUGAUUUUGUGAUUGUAUUUAA